This 514-nucleotide ribosomal RNA is filed under the name uncultured Hylemonella sp. RNAcentral describes it as "bacterial SSU rRNA". It matches the Rfam family "Bacterial small subunit ribosomal RNA", at positions 521 to 1035 of the family's 1533-position model. The record is from RNAcentral. Lineage: Bacteria; Pseudomonadati; Pseudomonadota; Betaproteobacteria; Burkholderiales; Comamonadaceae.
UAAUACGAAGGGACCUAGCGUAGUUCGGAAUUACUGGGCGUAAAGCGCGCGUAGGCCGUUGAGUUAGUUAAUUGUGAAAUCCCAAAGCUUAACUUUGGAACUGCAAUUAAAACUGCUCGACUAGAGUUUGAUAGAGGAAAGCGGAAUACAUAGUGUAGAGGUGAAAUUCGUAGAUAUUAUGUAGAACACCAGUUGCGAAGGCGGCUUUCUGGAUCAACACUGACGCUGAGGUGCGAAAGUAUGGGUAGCAAAGAGGAUUAGAUACCCUCGUAGUCCAUACCAUAAACGAUGAUUGCUAGAUGUUGGAAAUUUAUUUUCAGUAUCGCAGCUAACGCAUUAAGCAAUCCGCCUGGGGAGUACGACCGCAAGGUUAAAACUCAAAUGAAUUGACGGGGACCCGCACAAGCGGUGGAGCAUGUGGUUUAAUUCGAUGCAACGCGAAAAACCUUACCCACCUUUGACAUGUACGGAAGUUGCCAGAGAUGGCUUCGUGCUCGAAAGAGAACCGUAACAC